RNAcentral lists this transfer RNA (58 nucleotides) under Anatoecus icterodes. Its description in RNAcentral is "tRNA-Glu". The record is from RNAcentral. Lineage: Eukaryota; Metazoa; Arthropoda; Insecta; Psocodea; Philopteridae.
AAUACUAUAGUUUAUAAAAAAUACUUCAUUUUCAGUGAAGAGAUGUACAUUUAUUAGU